Non-coding RNA from Pimephales promelas (fathead minnow), 784 nucleotides. Lineage: Eukaryota; Metazoa; Chordata; Actinopteri; Cypriniformes; Leuciscidae. The record is from RefSeq and is a predicted model, not a curated record.
AGACCUCUUUUUCGUCCAUUUUGCAGCAGCUUCAUCAUGGUAAUGGCCAUGACGAGCAUAAAGUCCCUGCCAUCGUGGGAAGCUAUCAUGCAGUCUGUUGGGAUGAGGAUGAGGCCUGUUAAAUUCAAGUAUGUGAAAUGUGGGCAUUUGUUUUUGCAGUUUCCAUGCAGUCUGCCAAGAUGAGGAAGAGACCUGUUAAAAUCAAGGGUUGCCUGCACAUGAACUGUGUACUGACUGAGUCCAUGGAUUCUGUAUUGGUGCUUCCACUUGUCCUGGUGGCCAUAGUAUGGUCCGUGACAUUCAGGUGACAUCUGCACAAAAGGACCUUUUACCAAGGACUAGCAUCUUUCAAAGGACUAUUGUUUAAGACUAAGUGCGGAGUCCUCUAGGUUGCACGCCUGAAGUGUCGACAGGUUGCACGCCUUAAGUGUCUCGACGGGCGAGUGGCAUUUGAAGUUGUCUAAAUGGGACUGCAAUGGCCAUUCUGUACCAUCCCCUGGAAGUUCUGGACCCUCUUCACACUGAAGUUGGUUGCCCCAGAGGUCACAUCAUGCUGGUGUUUUGUUGACAUUAAAGGUGGUUUCAUGCCUAGCUGAUUUAAGGAUGGUGUCCUGUGUUCAGGUCCGUUAAAAAAACAUCUGGGGAAAAGUUGAAUUGUGGACGACCGGUUGAUGUUUGCUCCUAAUUCCUCUACUGUACACCUGUUGAAUGACCUGUUUGAAAUUGAAUAUAUAAAUGGCUGGCACUCAAUUUGUUUACACUGUAAUUAAAUUACUUGUCAAUA